AAACAAAAAGAUGUAGGUUGCAAAUGUUACCAGCAUGUGCAGUGGUGUGUGUGUGCCUAUGUGUGUCUCUGUGUGUGCAUAUAUAUGUGGUGAGCAUAUAUAUAUAUUGUGCAGCUAGGGUGAAGCCAGCAAAGAGGUGUGUAUGUUGUUAUGAGACGUUUGAAAAGAAGCUGACUGCUUGAUAAUCAUUCUCAGGUGUAAAGCUCCAAGUGUAAAUAAAAGUGGCAUUUAACAAAUUUUUUCAGAACAAAGUCCAGCUGAUGAUCUCCAGCAAGCAGUAAGCUAAAGGAACAGCUGAGAGCCGCCGAUCUGCACACAGUGCAGAGGGGUCAGCUCUGUGCUUCACUGACUUGGAUAAGGAAGGGAUGAUGGGAAAUCAUGGAAUUAAGUAGUAUUUAAACAAAAGUGGACGUAAUAGCUCUUCUGUUUGAGUAAAGCCUUGGUGUUGCUUUAUCUUAGUUUACAUUUUUACUUUUUAAAAAGCAGCAACGGAUGCUUUUAAAGAAGUAUUGUGACUGUAGCACUGGGAAAUGUGGCCCGUGCCCCAGCUUGUUGUAGCUGUGGCAUAGAGUUGGGCAAAAGAGCGGUGAUGGACUCAUUGCAACCAUACAUACUUGAAGAGUCCAUUGACCGAAGCUCUUUAUAGACUGUUUUGUAAAUGGGGAAAUCACAGACUGUUGAACGCCGCCUGCACUCUAACGGUCCUAGAGCUGCUGGGACCUCUCCUAUCAUGUCAGACUUGGACUUUUUUCCUUCUUGUUUAAAGGACAUAAAAUCAUAGAAUCCAUAUAAUCUGUGGAGUCAUCCUGACCCACAUGUAGAUCUGUAUCUAAUAUUAUUUGGAUUUGGACAAGUGUCAAUGACAUGGCUGUGUAAUAAAAUUUUUAUUAAAAAUACCACACACUGUAGCCCCUUUGCCACUCCCCAUCUGCAGCUGCUGAAACCCUCAUGCUGAGAUGCCAAAACACGGGGCAGGGAAAAAAAGCCCACCAAAGAAGAUUGAGAGUUAACCCAGCAACUGACCUGCCUGUCUGCUGAUUCCAGUCAACAUUCAGCACCUACCUGCAGUCUCAGCUGAGGUGGGGCCUGAGCCAAGAUCUCAGCCAGUCAAUGGAACCUUAGCUUUGUCCCACCAACUGGCUUCCUGGUGGGUCACAGUUUUUCUCCUGCUGGUGAAUGCCCUCAGUGGCCUCUCCAUCACCCCAACUUCACUUCAGUGUUGAGGGGCGUAGGACCCAAAGCUGUUUUCUACUCUUUUUCAGUUCUGGGAAGUAAGAGAGUCCAUAUACCUAGCUCAUGCUGUCUGUAGAUCUGUUGUCUGGUUUCUGACAGGCACAGAGAAAGUCUGUUUUUGUUAUUUUUUUUGUGAAGUCCUGACUUCAAUCUGUAAAUAUAUUUGUAAAUAAACUCUGGCAUUUUAAUAAGG
Molecule: long non-coding RNA, 1426 nt
Filed under: Mus musculus (house mouse)
Lineage: Eukaryota; Metazoa; Chordata; Mammalia; Rodentia; Muridae
Description: long non-coding RNA chr2:119733976-119735402
Source: RNAcentral